UGCGUAGGCGGAAAAUUAAGUCAGUGAUGAAAUCCUGCAGCUCAACUGUAGAACUGUCAUUGAUACUGAUUUUCUUGAAUUUAGUUGAGGUAGGCGGAAUGUGUAAUGUAGCGGUGAAAUGCUUAGAUAUUACACAGAACACCGAUUGCGAAGGCAGCUUACUAAGCUAACAUUGACGCUGAGGCAAGAAAGCGUGGGGAGCGAACAGGAUUAGAUACCCUGGUAGUCC
This 229-nucleotide ribosomal RNA is filed under the name uncultured bacterium. Its description in RNAcentral is "partial 16S ribosomal RNA". It matches the Rfam family "Bacterial small subunit ribosomal RNA", at positions 568 to 796 of the family's 1533-position model. The record is from RNAcentral.